AAAAAAAAAAAAAAAAAAAAAAAAUAAAUUCUUUUCGUCAAUAUAUCAAAUUAUAUAGAAUUAACAUUUAAAAAAUAAAAAAAUAAUAAUAAUACAGAAAAAUUACUAUUUUUCCCUUCAAAUAUGCUCUUUUAUCAUCAACAGUAUUUCUUAUUUGCCCUUGAGUUAAGGACAAAAAAUAUAUUUUGACUUUUUGCCCUUUCAAAUAAAUCUUUCUGCCGUCACAAACUUUUCUUAUUUGCCUUUAAGUUACGGACUAAAAAGGUAUUUUAAAUUUUUUUUAACUCUGAUAGAAAUUUAAAUCGAGGUUAACUCAAGAUGACUUAACAGGUAUUAACAAGAGUUUAUUUUUGAAUAACAGAUAAUAUAUCCAAAGGAUAUAUUUGAAAUAAG
RNAcentral lists this long non-coding RNA (393 nucleotides) under Ananas comosus (pineapple). RNAcentral describes it as "long non-coding RNA (ACOM_LNC003053)". The record is from RNAcentral. Lineage: Eukaryota; Viridiplantae; Streptophyta; Magnoliopsida; Poales; Bromeliaceae.